AGACCCGAAACCCGGUGAUCUAGCCAUGGGCAGGUUGAAGGUUGGGUAACACUAACUGGAGGACCGAACCGACUAAUGUUGAAAAAUUAGCGGAUGACCUGUGGCUGGGGGUGAAAGGCCAAUCAAACCGGGAGAUAGCUGGUUCUCCCCGAAAGCUAUUUAGGUAGCGCCUCGUGAAUUCAUCUCCGGGGGUAGAGCACUGUUUCGGCUAGGGGGCCAUCCCGGCUUACCAACCCGAUGCAAACUGCGAAUACCGGAGAAUGUUAUCACGGGAGACACACGGCGGGUGCUAACGUCCGUCGUGAAGAGGGAAACAACCCAGACCGCCAGCUAAGGUCCCAAAGUCAUGGUUAAGUGGGAAACGAUGUGGGAAGGCCCAGACAGCCAGGAUGUUGGCUUAGAAGCAGCCAUCAUUUAAAGAAAGCGUAAUAGCUCACUGGUCGAGUCGGCCUGCGCGGAAGAUGUAACGGGGCUAAACCAUGCACCGAAGCUGCGGCAGCGACGCUUAUGCGUUGUUGGGUAGGGGAGCGUUCUGUAAGCCUGUGAAGGUGGCCUGUGAGGGUUGCUGGAGGUAUCAGAAGUGCGAAUGCUGACAUAAGUAACGAUAAAGCGGGUGAAAAGCCCGCUCGCCGGAAGACCAAGGGUUCCUGUCCAACGUUAAUCGGGGCAGGGUGAGUCGACCCCUAAGGCGAGGCCGAAAGGCGUAGUCGAUGGGAAACGGGUUAAUAUUCCCGUACUUGGUGUUACUGCGAAGGGGGGACGGAGAAGGCUAUGUUGGCCGGGCGACGGUUGUCCCGGUUUAAGCGUGUAGGCUGGUUUUCCAGGCAAAUCCGGAAAAUCAAGGCUGAGGCGUGACGACGAGGCACUACGGUGCUGAAGCAACAAAUGCCCUGCUUCCAGGAAAAGCCUCUAAGCAUCAGGUAACAUCAAAUCGUACCCCAAACCGACACAGGUGGUCAGGUAGAGAAUACCAAGGCGCUUGAGAGAACUCGGGUGAAGGAACUAGGCAAAAUGGUGCCGUAACUUCGGGAGAAGGCACGCUGACACGUAGGUGAAGUGAUUUACUCAUGGAGCUGAAGUCAGUCGAAGAUACCAGCUGGCUGCAACUGUUUAUUAAAAACACAGCACUGUGCAAACACGAAAGUGGACGUAUACGGUGUGACGCCUGCCCGGUGCCGGAAGGUUAAUUGAUGGGGUCAGCGCAAGCGAAGCUCCUGAUCGAAGCCCCGGUAAACGGCGGCCGUAACUAUAACGGUCCUAAGGUAGCGAAAUUCCUUGUCGGGUAAGUUCCGACCUGCACGAAUGGCGUAAUGAUGGCCAGGCUGUCUCCACCCGAGACUCAGUGAAAUUGAACUCGCUGUGAAGAUGCAGUGUACCCGCGGCAAGACGGAAAGACCCCGUGAACCUUUACUAUAGCUUGACACUGAACAUUGAGCCUUGAUGUGUAGGAUAGGUGGGAGGCUUUGAAGUGUGGACGCCAGUCUGCAUGGAGCCGACCUUGAAAUACCACCCUUUAAUGUUUGAUGUUCUAACGUGGACCCGUUACCCGGGUUGCGGACAGUGUCUGGUGGGUAGUUUGACUGGGGCGGUCUCCUCCUAAAGAGUAACGGAGGAGCACGAAGGUUGGCUAAUCCUGGUCGGACAUCAGGAGGUUAGUGCAAUGGCAUAAGCCAGCUUGACUGCGAGCGUGACGGCGCGAGCAGGUGCGAAAGCAGGUCAUAGUGAUCCGGUGGUUCUGAAUGGAAGGGCCAUCGCUCAACGGAUAAAAGGUACUCCGGGGAUAACAGGCUGAUACCGCCCAAGAGUUCAUAUCGACGGCGGUGUUUGGCACCUCGAUGUCGGCUCAUCACAUCCUGGGGCUGAAGUAGGUCCCAAGGGUAUGGCUGUUCGCCAUUUAAAGUGGUACGCGAGCUGGGUUUAGAACGUCGUGAGACAGUUCGGUCCCUAUCUGCCGUGGGCGCUGGAGAACUGAGGGGGGCUGCUCCUAGUACGAGAGGACCGGAGUGGACGCAUCACUGGUGUUCGGGUUGUCAUGCCAAUGGCACUGCCCGGUAGCUAAAUGCGGAAGAGAUAAGUGCUGAAAGCAUCUAAGCACGAAACUUGCCCCGA
Molecule: ribosomal RNA, 2109 nt
Filed under: Salmonella enterica subsp. enterica serovar Hadar
Lineage: Bacteria; Pseudomonadati; Pseudomonadota; Gammaproteobacteria; Enterobacterales; Enterobacteriaceae
Description: partial 23S ribosomal RNA
Rfam family: Bacterial large subunit ribosomal RNA
Source: RNAcentral